Molecule: ribosomal RNA, 493 nt
Filed under: uncultured bacterium
Lineage: Bacteria
Description: partial 16S ribosomal RNA
Rfam family: Bacterial small subunit ribosomal RNA
Source: RNAcentral
UUGAACGCUGGCGGCAUGCUUUACACCUGCAAGUCGAACGGCAGCGGGGAGGAGCUUGCUUCUCUGCCGGCGAGUGGCGAACGGGUGAGUAAUACAUCGGAACGUGUCGAGAAGAGGGGGAUAACCACCCGAAAGGGUGGCUAAUACCGCAUAAAUUCUGAGGAAGAAAGCUGGGGACCUAGGAAUAGGCCUAGCGCUUUUUGAGCGGCCGAUGUCGGAUUAGCUAGUUGGUGAGGUAAAGGCUCACCAAGGCGAAGAUCUGUAGCGGGUCUGAGAGGAUGAUCCGCCACACUGGGACUGAGACACGGCCCAGACUCCUACGGGAGGCAGCAGUGGGGAAUUUUGGACAAUGGGGGCAACCCUGAUCCAGCCAUGCCGCGUGUAUGAAGAAGGCCUUAGGGUUGUAAAGUACUUUUGUUAGGGAAGAAAAGUCAGCUGUGAAUAAUGGCUGAUACUGACGGUACCUAAAGAAUAAGCACCGGCUAACUACGUG